AGGAUGUAGAAAGAAUGAAGAUUCUAGCAAUAACUAGAAUUCAUAAGAGAAGGGAAGCAGUAAAAAUUUGUAGUUACAGCAACAAGCACUUGUCUCGUGUUUCUGGAAUUCGAACAAUCGAGCGCUGAAUACACAAGCUAAAAUGACACUUCCACGGGACACAUAUGACGCCUUGAUUUAGUAAUGAUUGCGCUCUAGCUGCUUUACGCGUUGCAAUUUGCGCGACAAUUAGCUACGUAAAAAGCCUUUGAAAGCUAAGUAUGUAAUUGCUGUUACUUGGUUUUUAGUACAGUUCUAAAGGCAAGAAUGUUUAAUUAGUUCUAAUUUCGUAAGUAGUGAACUUAUUUCUUAAUUCUUCGUCCUAUAUUUUUCACGAUCUUUUCAUCACAUGAUGUAUCAUAUAAUGUAAAUGUUUCAUCCCAUUUUAUUUAGAUUUUAUAAUAAUGAUGAUUAAGUAUCGAACGUAAAGUGUUUAUUAUCGGUUAAGUAUUUAAUUAUAUAUUUUAAAAAUUAAUAGUUCUCAUCGAUAAGUACUAAUUUAAUAAUAAAUAGAAUUAAAAGUAUAAAAUAUCGACGCAAGAUUGCUGAACGUUA
Molecule: unclassified non-coding RNA, 594 nt
Filed under: Bombus terrestris (buff-tailed bumblebee)
Lineage: Eukaryota; Metazoa; Arthropoda; Insecta; Hymenoptera; Apidae
Description: misc RNA ENSBTSG00005037901.1
Source: RNAcentral